UCAUCGAAUUUUUAUGAAAACCUUAUGAACUUUUUUUUAGAUCUGAAGCGUUUUUUUUGGGAAACCUAAAAAAUUAUAUUUUCGGUGUGCCACAAGGUACAAUUCUUGGAGCUGUACUAUUCCUAAUAUUCAUAAACGACUUAGCAAAUUUCUUAAAUGUGAUAUUUUAAUCUUUAUAUCAUAUUUUAUUGGUCUAUAACUUAUUUUUAAUAAUUUCAUUUACUUAUCUGUGCAAUUUCUUUCUCUAUUUGACUAUUUUAUAUACUUAUGUAUCCAGCAUAUAUUCAUUUAUUCAAAGACAUAAACUAAUCCCAAUUUGUCUAGAAUUCCAUAAAAUUGGAUCUGACAGUUUAUAAAGAAAACAUUCAAGAGAUUUUUGUUCAUUUUCGAGAGUACAUUUAUGUUAUUCUUUUCCUCAAAUAUUCUAUAGACGUUUUUCUGAUAUAAGUGCAUAGAUUACAAUUAAUAGUUUUAUAAUACAUCUAUUCCAUAGAGUAAUAAAUAUCUUGAUUACUCUGAGAUCUAUUAAAAACCAUCAAUCUAAUGUCAAGAAUGCAUCAAAAUUGCAACUAACUGAAAUUAUUCCCAAUAAAAUAAUUGCAAAUGAUAUAAAAUCACAGAGUUCCAACUGAAUUUCAAUAGAGGUUCCUCAAUUUACUGGAUUCGUCAAAAGAUAAUAAUGCAGUUGAAAAACAGGUUGAUAUUUGUUGUAAUUUCAAUACUUUUUCAACUAAAGCAUUCAAAUGGAAAACUAUUAGUGAGAAAAGAAGUCCUUAAUGAAAUGUUAUUCACCGAUCAAGAUACAGUAAUAAAAAAUACCGUUUAUAAUAUUGGCAAUAGAAGGGUUGACAACAUAACAUUGUACGACUUAUUGCCAGAAUAUUUUUCAGUUGUGGCAGGUCAGUCGAAAAUUGAUAUAAGCAAAUUAGAACCUGAUGAGAUCCUGACUCACUUGAUUGUAGUAAGGCCAACAAUUUCGGGAAUGUUAUCUUUAAGUGAAGCGCAAGUGAAGUAUAUUGUUGACAACACACAGAUACUAUCCCACAGUACAAAGAUCGAAGGACUUAUUGUUCAGUCGGAAAAGUUGUACUACAAAAUGUUUUCAUAUAAUAAGAAAAAUUGGUUUAGAGCGAUGACAUUUGUGGCAAUGAGUAUUUUUAUGCCUUUUAUACUUUGGAAAUCUACAGAAAGAGACUUUCAGAUGUAUAUGAUCAAAUGAUAUGUCAUUUAAUUGAAUUUAUAUCUGCACAAGAAGUUAUUUGGCAGAUUUAUCAAAUACCAAGUUUAUCCAACAUGGCGUCAGUGACGUCAUUUGGAAGUAUAAACAAUUAAGGCCUUAUAAGAAAGCAUUUGUGUUCAUUAUUAGUUAGUAUAUUCAUUCAUUAAGAUCAAUUUUAUGCAUGUAAUUCAAAUAUUAUUAUUUGAUAGUAUUUCAUUUAUCCAUAACACAAUGUUUCAAUGUAUGGGGAAAAGAACAUAAAAACGUUUUUGCGACAUGGAUGCGACGCUGGAGGAUGCAACCACCUGGCACCCAGUAAAAUCAAAGCUUGUGACAUUCAAUCAUAAAAUCAAAAUCAAUUUCCCAUAUAUCAACAUAAACAACAACAAGAAUCAAUAAAGUUUGUUUUCUCUCUAG
This is a long non-coding RNA of Harmonia axyridis, 1636 nucleotides long. RefSeq lists it as uncharacterized. The record is from RefSeq and is a predicted model, not a curated record. The transcript is spliced from 2 exons. NCBI's taxonomy places the organism in Eukaryota, Metazoa, Arthropoda, Insecta, Coleoptera, Coccinellidae.